AGACAGAGGAAGCUGGAUUUCCUGGACAUCUACAGCGAGGAGAUGGUGUGCGCCGCCAAGAACAUCGUUCGGCAGUGUGUUGUGAAGUCCGUGUCGCAGAUCAGUGAGAUCGAUGCAGACGCUGUCAGGUUUCAUGAGCAGAUGCGCUUGAUGACGUUUCAUCAGUGGUUUGAUCUGCUGCUGGAUAUUUUUGAACACUUCAUCCUGUUCCUCAAGAAGAUCAAGGUAACGUAACUUAUAUUCAAGACAUGCAGUGAAACCCUGACAAAACACACAAUAUGUGACUCUGAGCAGCUGAUGACAUUCAGAAAGCUUCACUCGGUCAACACGACAUCAAAAUAGACUUCAAUAGACGUUCCUGGUCUUAUUAAUCUGA
This is a long non-coding RNA of Sinocyclocheilus rhinocerous, 376 nucleotides long. RefSeq lists it as uncharacterized. The transcript is spliced from 3 exons. Lineage: Eukaryota; Metazoa; Chordata; Actinopteri; Cypriniformes; Cyprinidae. The record is from RefSeq and is a predicted model, not a curated record.